RNAcentral lists this ribosomal RNA (467 nucleotides) under uncultured bacterium. RNAcentral's name for it is "partial 16S ribosomal RNA". It matches the Rfam family "Bacterial small subunit ribosomal RNA", at positions 28 to 507 of the family's 1533-position model. The record is from RNAcentral.
GAUGAACGCUGGCGGCGUGCUUAACACAUGCAAGUCGAACGAUGAUGCCCAGCUUGCUGGGUGGAUUAGUGGCGAACGGGUGAGUAACACGUGAGUAACCUGCCCUUGACUCUGGGAUAAGCCUGGGAAACUGGGUCUAAUACCGGAUACGACCAUCUGGCGCAUGUCAUGGUGGUGGAAAGCUUUUGUGGUUUUGGAUGGACUCGCGGCCUAUCAGCUUGUUGGUGGGGUAAUGGCCUACCAAGGCGACGACGGGUAGCCGGCCUGAGAGGGUGACCGGCCACACUGGGACUGAGAGACGGCCCAGACUCCUACGGGAGGCAGCAGUGGGGAAUAUUGCACAAUGGGCGCAAGCCUGAUGCAGCGACGCCGCGUGAGGGAUGACGGCCUUCGGGUUGUAAACCUCUUUCAGUAGGGAAGAAGCGAAAGUGACGGUACCUGCAGAAGAAGCGCCGGCUAACUACGUG